This 654-nucleotide ribosomal RNA is filed under the name Lactica sp. BMNH 831413. RNAcentral's name for it is "eukaryotic LSU rRNA". It matches the Rfam family "Eukaryotic large subunit ribosomal RNA", at positions 663 to 1267 of the family's 3401-position model. Lineage: Eukaryota; Metazoa; Arthropoda; Insecta; Coleoptera; Chrysomelidae. The record is from RNAcentral.
GGACCAAGGAGUCUAGCAUGUGCGCGAGUCAUUGGGACAUGAUUAAACCUAAAGGCGUAAUGAAAGUAAAGGUUUGCCUUGCGUAAACCGAGGGAGGAUGAGUGGUUUGCCCUCAAAAAGUGGCCACUCCGCACUCCCGGGGCGUCUCGUUCUCAUUGCGAGAAGAGGCGCACCAAGAGCGUACACGCUGGGACCCGAAAGAUGGUGAACUAUGCCUGGUCAGGACGAAGUCAGGGGAAACCCUGAUGGAGGUCCGUAGCGAUUCUGACGUGCAAAUCGAUCGUCGGAACUGGGUAUAGGGGCGAAAGACUAAUCGAACCAUCUAGUAGCUGGUUCCCUCCGAAGUUUCCCUCAGGAUAGCUGGCGCUCGUUGCGUACGAGUUUCAUCCGGUAAAGCGAAUGAUUAGAGGCAUUGGGGUCGAAACGACCUCAACCUAUUCUCAAACUUUAAAUGGGUGAGAUCUCCGGCUUGCUCGAACUCAUGAAGCCGCGAGACUCAAAUCAGAGUGCCAAGUGGGCCAUUUUUGGUAAGCAAAACUGGCGCUGUGGGAUGAACCAAACGUCGAGUUAAAGCGCCUAAAUCGACGCUUAUGGGAUACCAUGAAAGGCGUUGGUAACUUAAGACAGCAGGACGGUGACCAUGGAAGUCGGAAU